GAUGAACGCUGGCGGCGUGCCUAAUACAUGCAAGUCGAGCGAACAGACGAGGAGCUUGCUCCUCUGACGUUAGCGGCGGACGGGUGAGUAACACGUGGAUAACCUACCUAUAAGACUGGGAUAACUUCGGGAAACCGGAGCUAAUACCGGAUAAUAUAAUGAACCGCAUGGUUCAAUAGUGAAAGACGGUUUUGCUGUCACUUAUAGAUGGAUCCGCGCCGCAUUAGCUAGUUGGUAAGGUAACGGCUUACCAAGGCAACGAUGCGUAGCCGACCUGAGAGGGUGAUCGGCCACACUGGAACUGAGACACGGUCCAGACUCCUACGGGAGGCAGCAGUAGGGAAUCUUCGGCAAUGGGCGAAAGCCUGACGGAGCAACGCCGCGUGAGUGAUGAAGGUCUUCGGAUCGUAAAACUCUGUUAUUAGGGAAGAACAAAUGUGUAAGUAACUAUGCACGUCUUGACGGUACCUAAUCAGAAAGCCACGGCUAACUACGUG
This 497-nucleotide ribosomal RNA is filed under the name uncultured bacterium. Its description in RNAcentral is "partial 16S ribosomal RNA". It matches the Rfam family "Bacterial small subunit ribosomal RNA", at positions 28 to 507 of the family's 1533-position model. The record is from RNAcentral.